Molecule: ribosomal RNA, 983 nt
Filed under: uncultured bacterium
Lineage: Bacteria
Description: bacterial SSU rRNA
Rfam family: Bacterial small subunit ribosomal RNA
Source: RNAcentral
CCGCGGUAAUACGUAGGUGGCAAGCGUUGUCCGGAUUUAUUGGGCGUAAAGCGAGCGCAGGCGGUUUUUUAAGUCUGAUGUGAAAGCCUUCGGCUCAACCGAAGAAGUGCAUCGGAAACUGGGAAACUUGAGUGCAGAAGAGGACAGUGGAACUCCAUGUGUAGCGGUGAAAUGCGUAGAUAUAUGGAAGAACACCAGUGGCGAAGGCGGCUGUCUGGUCUGUAACUGACGCUGAGGCUCGAAAGUAUGGGUAGCAAACAGGAUUAGAUACCCUGGUAGUCCAUACCGUAAACGAUGAAUGCUAAGUGUUGGAGGGUUUCCGCCCUUCAGUGCUGCAGCUAACGCAUUAAGCAUUCCGCCUGGGGAGUACGGCCGCAAGGCUGAAACUCAAAGGAAUUGACGGGGGCCCGCACAAGCGGUGGAGCAUGUGGUUUAAUUCGAAGCUACGCGAAGAACCUUACCAGGUCUUGACAUACUAUGCAAAUCUAAGAGAUUAGACGUUCCCUUUCGGGGACAUGGAUACAGGUGGUGCAUGGUUGUCGUCAGCUCGUGUCGUGAGAUGUUGGGUUAAGUCCCGCAACGAGCGCAACCCUUAUUAUCAGUUGCCAGCAUUAAGUUGGGCACUCUGGUGAGACUGCCGGUGACAAACCGGAGGAAGGUGGGGAUGACGUCAAAUCAUCAUGCCCCUUAUGACCUGGGCUACACACGUGCUACAAUGGAUGGUACAACGAGUUGCGAACUCGCGAGAGUAAGCUAAUCUCUUAAAGCCAUUCUCAGUUCGGAUUGUAGGCUGCAACUCGCCUACAUGAAGUCGGAAUCGCUAGUAAUCGCGGAUCAGCAUGCCGCGGUGAAUACGUUCCCGGGCCUUGUACACACCGCCCGUCACACCAUGAGAGUUUGUAACACCCAAAGUCGGUGGGGUAACCUUUUAGGAACCAGCCGCCUAAGGUGGGACAGAUGAUUAGGGUGAAGUCGUAACAAGG